ACGCUGGCGGCAGGCCUAACACAUGCAAGUCGAGCGGAUGAAGGGGGCUUGCUCCCUGAUUCAGCGGCGGACGGGUGAGUAAUGCCUAGGAAUCUGCCUGGUAGUGGGGGACAACGUCUCGAAAGGGACGCUAAUACCGCAUACGUCCUACGGGAGAAAGUGGGGGAUCUUCGGACCUCACGCUAUCAGAUGAGCCUAGGUCGGAUUAGCUAGUUGGUGAGGUAAUGGCUCACCAAGGCGACGAUCCGUAACUGGUCUGAGAGGAUGAUCAGUCACACUGGAACUGAGACACGGUCCAGACUCCUACGGGAGGCAGCAGUGGGGAAUAUUGGACAAUGGGCGAAAGCCUGAUCCAGCCAUGCCGCGUGUGUGAAGAAGGUCUUCGGAUUGUAAAGCACUUUAAGUUGGGAGGAAGGGCAUUAACCUAAUACGUUAGUGUUUUGACGUUACCGACAGAAUAAGCACCGGCUAACUCUGUGCCAGCAGCCGCGGUAAUACAGAGGGUGCAAGCGUUAAUCGGAAUUACUGGGCGUAAAGCGCGCGUAGGUGGUUUGUUAAGUUGGAUGUGAAAUCCCCGGGCUCAACCUGGGAACUGCAUCCAAAACUGGCAAGCUAGAGUAGGGCAGAGGGUGGUGGAAUUUCCUGUGUAGCGGUGAAAUGCGUAGAUAUAGGAAGGAACACCAGUGGCGAAGGCGACCACCUGGGCUCAUACUGACACUGAGGUGCGAAAGCGUGGGGAGCAAAC
This 745-nucleotide ribosomal RNA is filed under the name uncultured bacterium. RNAcentral describes it as "bacterial SSU rRNA". It matches the Rfam family "Bacterial small subunit ribosomal RNA", at positions 33 to 773 of the family's 1533-position model. The record is from RNAcentral.